Molecule: ribosomal RNA, 253 nt
Filed under: uncultured bacterium
Lineage: Bacteria
Description: partial 16S ribosomal RNA
Rfam family: Bacterial small subunit ribosomal RNA
Source: RNAcentral
UACAGAGGGGGCAAGCGUUGUUCGGAAUUACUGGGCGUAAAGGGCGCGUAGGCGGCCUUCUAAGUCGAACGUGAAAUCCCCGGGCUCAACCCGGGAACUGCGUCCGAUACUGGAAGGCUUGAGUUUGGGAGAGGGAUGCGGAAUUCCAGGUGUAGCGGUGAAAUGCGUAGAUAUCUGGAGGAACACCGGUGGCGAAGGCGGCAUCCUGGACCAACACUGACGCUGAGGAGCGAAAGCCAGGGGAGCAAACGGG